This 380-nucleotide long non-coding RNA is filed under the name Parus major (Great Tit). Its description in RNAcentral is "lncRNA (ENSPMJG00000013827.1)". The record is from RNAcentral. Lineage: Eukaryota; Metazoa; Chordata; Aves; Passeriformes; Paridae.
AAAACAGAAAACCACCCCUACCACCAGCGAAAUUGCUGUUGAGGAAGUUUUGUGUGAAGCAAAUAGACCUGAAGAGAGCUGGGGUCCUUGGUGGUCUUGAAAGAUGUUGACUUUACGUCUUCUCUUGCUAAGAAUGAGAUUUCUGCCAUUCUGGAUAGCAUUAUUAUUGCAAGCACAUGUGUCUGCAAUGGUUGCCAGCAUUCUUCUGCUGCUGCAGUGGGCUUAAACCAUAGCAAGGUUGAAAUCGUGGUCAGGAUCAGACGUCCCCCAUUAGACACAUAGCACCUGAAUGAACAUAGACCUAAGGUCAUAGCAAGGAUAUAAACUAGUUAUCUGACUCCCUAUCUACCCAGGCAAUAAAGAGAUAAGAAUUAAAAGAA